Molecule: long non-coding RNA, 573 nt
Organism: Daucus carota subsp. sativus
Lineage: Eukaryota; Viridiplantae; Streptophyta; Magnoliopsida; Apiales; Apiaceae
Exons: 2
Source: RefSeq, a predicted model, not a curated record
CGAUUGGACCUGUUUUAUUAUAUAAAGCUAUUAAACAUUGUAUUUUCGUGUCAUAUAUGAUCCAAAGGGGUAUUAAUUUUUCAUAACUAUAAAUAGCCUUAACCGCACUUUAAUUCAUCGGGGAAAUCAUAAUCUCAGUUAAACACGGGUUUAUCGAGAGAGUGUUCUUCGUGUUCUUGAGAUUCAAACAAGGAUUUGGAAGCGUUAUCGGACUCGGAUCUUGGCGUUUAAGCACUCAAAUCGAAGGUUUUGAGGAGUAGAAUCUGAUUUUGUCAUCAAAAACAUCAAGAAAUUCGCAGGCAGAGAAAGUUGGUAACGAUGACCCUCAGGCUAGUAGUAAGGUCAGGAUUUCAGGCUAGGAGAUGAAGAGAGCUAUCAGCAGCACCUGGCUUUUCAUAUAUGUACUAGUUUGAAUAACGAGACACAAAUGGCGUGUAAGCUUGUAAGAUUUAAGUUUUUAUUUUGGGAUUUGGGUUUGUAAUAAUUAAAGUUGUGUUGUGGCUUGUUUUAUACUUUAACCUGUUGCGAUCCAAGGACAGUGAAGGGUCACUAUAUAUAUUAUAUCAUUAAUUA